This 409-nucleotide ribosomal RNA is filed under the name uncultured archaeon. RNAcentral's name for it is "bacterial SSU rRNA". It matches the Rfam family "Archaeal small subunit ribosomal RNA", at positions 25 to 437 of the family's 1478-position model. The record is from RNAcentral.
UACUGCUAUCGGUGUUCGACUAAGCCAUGCUAGUUAAAUGUUCUUCGUGAACAUAGCGGACUGCUCAGUAACACGUGGACAAUCUGCCCUUGGGUUCAGCAUAACCCCGGGAAACUGGGGAUAAUUCUGAAUAGAUCACAUAUGCUGGAAUGCUUUGUGAUUAAAAGAUCCGUCGCCCAAGGAUGGGUCUGCGGCCUAUCAGGUUGUAGUGGGUCUAGAGUACCUACUAGCCAACGACGGGUACGGGUUGUGAGAGCAAGAGCCCGGAGAUGGAUUCUGAGACAUUAAUCCAGGCCCUACGGGGCGCAGCAGGCGCGAAACCUUUACACUGCGGGAAACCGCGAUAAGGGGACACCGAGUGCCAGCAUACAAUGCUGGCUGUCCACAUGUGUAAAUAGCAUGUGAUAGC